RNAcentral lists this ribosomal RNA (672 nucleotides) under uncultured bacterium. RNAcentral's name for it is "bacterial SSU rRNA". It matches the Rfam family "Bacterial small subunit ribosomal RNA", at positions 8 to 728 of the family's 1533-position model. The record is from RNAcentral.
AGAGUUUGAUCAUGGCUCAGAACGAACGCUGGCGGCAGGCUUAACACAUGCAAGUCGAACGCCCCGCAAGGGGAGUGGCAGACGGGUGAGUAACGCGUGGGAAUCUACCCAGAACUACGGAACAACUGAGGGAAACUUCAGCUAAUACCGUAUACGCCCUACGGGGGAAAGAUUUAUCGGUUCUGGAUGAGCCCGCGUAAGAUUAGCUAGUUGGUGGGGUAAUGGCCUACCAAGGCGACGAUCUUUAGCUGGUCUGAGAGGAUGAUCAGCCACACUGGGACUGAGACACGGCCCAGACUCCUACGGGAGGCAGCAGUGGGGAAUAUUGGACAAUGGGCGAAAGCCUGAUCCAGCCAUGCCGCGUGAGUGAUGAAGGCCUUAGGGUUGUAAAGCUCUUUCAGUGGGGACGAUAAUGACGGUACCCACAGAAGAAGCCCCGGCUAACUUCGUGCCAGCAGCCGCGGUAAUACGAAGGGGGCUAGCGUUGUUCGGAUUUACUGGGCGUAAAGCGCACGUAGGCGGAUUGUUAAGUGAGGGGUGAAAUCCCAGGGCUCAACCCUGGAACUGCCUUUCAUACUGGCAAUCUUGAGUCCGGAAGAGGUGAGUGGAACUCCUAGUGUAGAGGUGGAAUUCGUAGAUAUUAGGAAGAACACCAGUGGCGAAGGCGGCUCA